Non-coding RNA from Xyrichtys novacula (pearly razorfish), 414 nucleotides. The record is from the annotation of a GenBank genome assembly. Lineage: Eukaryota; Metazoa; Chordata; Actinopteri; Labriformes; Labridae.
GAGGAGGAGGAGGAGGAAAGGUCAAAGGUCAGCUGCUGCUCUCACAGCUGAUUUGAUUCACUUUUUUUCGACUUCAUCUGAUUUUUUAGUUUCAUCUCUUUUUUAUUUCUCCGUGUUUUUUCAGCCCUGAGCCCCCGUACCUCCAACUCUAAUCUGGGACCAGCUCCUCGCUCCUUUCCCAGAGUUUGGAGCGGCGGCGGCGGGGGCUACGGAGAGGUGGGGUUGGAGGGUUGGAGGGGCACACGGGAAGGAAAAGGAGUAGCUGGGAAAUCUCAUCAGGCUCCUCAGCAAACCAGAGACACCCAGAUAGGAUCUGGGCGUCGCUGCUCAGUCGUCCCGGGGUCGAGACUCCAGCCGUGGCGGUCCACCACGGUUUGGUGUCCGUGACGAUCUGGGCGUCUGAAACAGGAGAUG